RNAcentral lists this ribosomal RNA (439 nucleotides) under uncultured bacterium. RNAcentral describes it as "partial 16S ribosomal RNA". It matches the Rfam family "Bacterial small subunit ribosomal RNA", at positions 339 to 795 of the family's 1533-position model. The record is from RNAcentral.
CUACGGGACGCUCCAGUGGGGAAUAUUGCACAAUGGAGGAAACUCUGAUGCAGCAACGCCGCGUGGAGGAUGACACUUUUCGGAGCGUAAACUCCUUUUAUAUAGGAAGAAGAUGACGGUACUAUAUGAAUAAGCGCCGGCUAACUCCGUGCCAGCAGCCGCGGUAAUACGGAGGGCGCAAGCGUUACUCGGAAUCACUGGGCGUAAAGAGCGUGUAGGCGGAUUAAAAAGUCAGAAGUGAAAUCCUAUAGCUUAACUAUAGAACUGCUUCUGAAACUCUUAAUCUAGAAUAUGGGAGAGGUAGAUGGAAUUUCUGGUGUAGGGGUAAAAUCCGUAGAGAUCAGAAGGAAUACCGAUUGCGAAGGCGAUCUACUGGAACAUUAUUGACGCUCAGAUGCGAAAGCGUGGGGAGCAAACAGGAUUAGAUACCCUUGUAGUC